GGAGUUGUGGCUCAGCGGUAGAGCGCUCACCUAUCACAUGCGAGGUGCUGGAUUUGAUCCUCAGAACCACAUAAAAAACAAAUAAAUUUUAAAAAGGUAUUGUGUCCAACUACAACUAAAAAUAUAUAUAUUAAAAAAAGUGUUAGGCUAGGGCUGUAAAGCUGUAGUUCAGCAGCAGAGCACUUGCCUAGCACGUGUGAGGCCCUGGGUUCAACCCUCAGCAUCACAU
Molecule: transfer RNA, 229 nt
Filed under: Marmota monax (woodchuck)
Lineage: Eukaryota; Metazoa; Chordata; Mammalia; Rodentia; Sciuridae
Description: tRNA.Asp
Source: RNAcentral